Molecule: ribosomal RNA, 654 nt
Filed under: uncultured bacterium
Lineage: Bacteria
Description: bacterial SSU rRNA
Rfam family: Bacterial small subunit ribosomal RNA
Source: RNAcentral
AGAGUUUGAAAAGGACAAGGCUGAACAAGGUAAGGCGAGGUUAAGUACUAGAGUUUGAACAUGGCCAAGUCGUAACAAGGGAAGGAGUGACGUGGAAUGCGCGUUAUUCUACAAAAAGGACUGGGACAGGCACUGGGAACAGUGGCUAAUACUAAAUGAGCCUAAAAGUAUAAAGGGAAACCUGCCUUUUGAAUGGCUCGCGUUUGACAAGCUAGUUGGUGAGGUAAGAGCUCACCAAGGCAGCGAUCAGUAGCUGGUCUGAGAGGAUGACCAGCCACACUGGGACUGAGACACGGCCCAGACUCCUACGGGAGGCAGCAGUGGGGAAUUUUCCGCAAUGGGCGAAAGCCUGACGGAGCAAGACCGCGUGAGGGAAGAAGGCUCUUGGGUCGUAAACCUCUUUUAUCAGGGAAGAAAAAAAUGACGGUACCUGAAGAAUCAGCCUCGGCUAACUCCGUGCCAGCAGCCGCGGUAAUACGGAGGAGGCAAGCGUUAUCCGGAAUUAUUGGGCGUAAAGCGUCCGCAGGUGGCUUAUCAAGUCUGCUGUCAAAGAGUGGGGCUUAACCCCAUAAAGGCAGUGGAAACUGAGAAGCUAGAGUGCCGUAGGGGUAGAGGGAAUUCCCGGUGUAGCGGUGAAAUGCGUAGAGAUCGGGA